Molecule: ribosomal RNA, 495 nt
Filed under: uncultured bacterium
Lineage: Bacteria
Description: partial 16S ribosomal RNA
Rfam family: Bacterial small subunit ribosomal RNA
Source: RNAcentral
GACGAACGCUGGCGGCGUGCCUAAUACAUGCAAGUAGAACGCUGAAGGAGGAGCUUGCUCUUCUGGAUGAGUUGCGAACGGGUGAGUAACGCGUAGGUAACCUGCCUGGUAGCGGGGGAUAACUAUUGGAAACGAUAGCUAAUACCGCAUAAGAGUAGAUGUUGCAUGACAUUUACUUAAAAGGUGCAAUUGCAUCACUACCAGAUGGACCUGCGUUGUAUUAGCUAGUUGGUGGGGUAACGGCUUACCAAGGCGACGAUACAUAGCCGACCUGAGAGGGGGAUCGGCCACACUGGGACUGAGACACGGCCCAGACUCCUACGGGAGGCAGCAGUAGGGAAUCUUCGGCAAUGGACGGAAGUCUGACCGAGCAACGCCGCGUGAGUGAAGAAGGUUUUCGGAUCGUAAAGCUCUGCUGUAAGAGAAGAACGAGUGUGAGAGUGGAAAGUUCACACUGUGACGGUAUCUUACCAGAAAGGGACGGCUAACUACGUG